RNAcentral lists this ribosomal RNA (497 nucleotides) under uncultured bacterium. RNAcentral describes it as "partial 16S ribosomal RNA". It matches the Rfam family "Bacterial small subunit ribosomal RNA", at positions 28 to 507 of the family's 1533-position model. The record is from RNAcentral.
GAUGAACGCUGGCGGCGUGCCUAAUACAUGCAAGUCGAGCGAACGGACGAGAAUCUUGCUUUUCUGAUGUUAGCGGCGGACGGGUGAGUAACACGUGGAUAACCUACCUAUAAGACUGGGAUAACUUCGGGAAACCGGAGCUAAUACCGGAUAAUAUUUUGAACCGCAUGGUUCAAAAGUGAAAGACGUUCUUGCUGUCACUUAUAGAUGGAUCCGCGCUGCAUUAGCUAGUUGGUAAGGUAACGGCUUACCAAGGCAACGAUGCAUAGCCGACCUGAGAGGGUGAUCGGCCACACUAGAACUGAGACACGGUCCAGACUCCUACGGGAGGCAGCAGUAGGGAAUCUUCCGCAAUGGGCGAAAGCCUGACGGAGCAACGCCGCGUGAGUGAUGAAGGUCUUCGGAUCGUAAAACUCUGUUAUUAGGGAAGAACAUAUGCGUAAGUAACUGUGCACAUCUUGACGGUACCUAAUCAGAAAGCAACGGCUAACUACGUG